RNAcentral lists this long non-coding RNA (1058 nucleotides) under Sus scrofa (pig). RNAcentral describes it as "lncRNA (ENSSSCG00025054267.1, ENSSSCG00055013167.1)". The record is from RNAcentral. Lineage: Eukaryota; Metazoa; Chordata; Mammalia; Artiodactyla; Suidae.
AUGAGUGUCCCUGUGGAACAAAGCUUGGGGUUUUGCAAAAUCCAGUCUCCAAGUCAAAGGAGUUCCUCCCUGGGCCUCAAGGUUGCAGCAGUGCAUAUUAAUGGGGGUGGUGGGGAGAGCCGGACAAAGGGGCUUCUCUGUGUUCCGGUGCCCAGUCUCUUUUUUGGGGACAGAGAGGACUUUGUUUUCUUACACUGGAGAAGGAAGCUUGGGUACAAGGUCACACCUGAACUGAAAAUGGAAAAAAAAAGUCUUAAGGUUCCUGAGCAAAAGAGAAAAGGAGGUUUGACCAUGAGGCUUGGAGAAGGGAGAAGGGCUGGGGAGUACGGCAAGCAUCAAAUUGGAUAUUUCUCUGGAAACACUGACAGUCUGAAUUCCCUCAAUCUGUGUCUCAAUCCCAAACUGAAAGGACCAUCUUCCUGAGGCUCUUGGUGAUGCUGACGCUACCAGUUUGAGGACCACACUUUGAGAAACAAGGUUCUAGACUUUGACCUUCACUGCACAGGCUUACAAGACUGGUAAGUCUGAUUAAGAGAUCUUUUAGGAAUAGACUCAUAUUAACUAAGCUUACAAGCUUGCUGUAGAAAUCUAGAAAUCUAAUUUGUUAAUAUGUUAAUGAGAAAAAUGAAAUGUACGGACCCAUAAUCAUCUGCUGUUCCUAAGACAUGCCACCUGAGACGCCAAAUUAGAGCGCAGGAUAAGAAUGGACAGGAGACUGUAAAAGAUUGUUGUGUGUAUAGUUGGUUCAAAGAUUUCAGGCUAAUAGAGAUUUUCUAGCUGUCACUGCACUGGAGUGGUGGUUUUAAAAUGUACCUGGGAUUUAAUUAAGUAUCAUUAGUGAUAUGCAGUCACACUGUCAUGGAAAUGACUUCAUGAGGGGAAAAGUUUUAUAUUUGCAGGUCCCUAGAAAUAGGAGGCACAGCAUGCUGUGCAGGGGGCCACACAGAGCGGCACUGGGGUUGCUCAGAAAGCAGAAGGAGCAAGGGAAAUCAUGGGCAAGAACCUUCAUUUUUGAGGAAAGGAAUAAAUGAGGCAGCAUGAAUGAGUUUAGGAUUGAA